AAGAAAUUGAGUUUACUCUUCAUCUUCCUAUUUAAUAGUCUCACUUCUUUCUUUGUUAAACACAUUACAAAAACAACAUCACAAUCAGUAACCCCCUCAUCUCUUCAAUCAACAAUCCAGCAUAUCUCCAUCUCUCUCUCUCUCUCUCUUGUGACAACCUUCUUCCACAAACACCCUUCUAUUUCUCUUAUCCUAUCCCCGCGACUCAACCUUCAUCUGGCCCCUCAACCUUCACUCACCAAUCUCCCUUUAUCUCCCUUUACCUCACCCUCUGUUCCUUCCAUUUACAACAACAGUUUUCCGUAA
This is a non-coding RNA of Vicia faba (fava bean), 306 nucleotides long. The record is from the annotation of a GenBank genome assembly. Lineage: Eukaryota; Viridiplantae; Streptophyta; Magnoliopsida; Fabales; Fabaceae.